UGAGGAAUAUUGGUCAAUGGGCGAGAGCCUGAACCAGCCAAGCAGCGUGCAGGAUGACGGCCCUAUGGGUUGUAAACUGCUUUUAUAUGGGAAUAAAGUGAGGGACGUGUCCCUUAUUGCAUGUACCAUACGAAUAAGGACCGGCUAAUUCCGUGCCAGCAGCCGCGGUAAUACGGAAGGUCCAGGCUUUAUCCGGAUUUAUUGGGUUUAAAGGGUGCGUAGGCUGUUUGUUAAGCGUGUUGUGAAAUGUAGGAGCUCAACUUUUAAAUUGCGGCGCGAACUGGCAGACUUGAGUGCGCACAACGUAGGCGGAAUUCAUGGUGUAGCGGUGAAAUGCUUAGAUAUCAUGACGAACUCCGAUUGCGAAGGCAGCUUACGGGAGCGCAACUGACGCUAAAGCUCGAAGGUGCGGGUAUCGAACAGG
This 424-nucleotide ribosomal RNA is filed under the name Verrucomicrobiota bacterium. Its description in RNAcentral is "Verrucomicrobia bacterium partial 16S ribosomal RNA". It matches the Rfam family "Bacterial small subunit ribosomal RNA", at positions 355 to 776 of the family's 1533-position model. The record is from RNAcentral. Lineage: Bacteria; Pseudomonadati; Verrucomicrobiota.